GAUGAACGCUGGCGGCGUGCUUAACACAUGCAAGUCGAAUGAAGCACUUUAUUUGAUUUCCUUCGGGACUGAUUAUUUUGUGACUGAGUGGCGGACGGGUGAGUAACGCGUGGGUAACCUGCCUUGUACAGGGGGAUAACAGUUGGAAACGGCUGCUAAUACCGCAUAAGCGCACAGCAUCGCAUGAUGCAGUGUGAAAAACUCCGGUGGUAUAAGAUGGACCCGCGUUGGAUUAGCUAGUUGGUGAGGUAACGGCCCACCAAGGCGACGAUCCAUAGCCGACCUGAGAGUGUGACCGGCCACAUUGGGACUGAGACACGGCCCAAACUCCUACGGGAGGCAGCAGUGGGGAAUAUUGCACAAUGGGCGAAAGCCUGAUGCAGCGACGCCGCGUGAGCGAAGAAGUAUUUCGGUAUGUAAAGCUCUAUCAGCAGGGAAGAUAAUGACGGUACCGGACUAAGAAGCACCGGCUAAAUACGU
RNAcentral lists this ribosomal RNA (480 nucleotides) under uncultured bacterium. RNAcentral's name for it is "partial 16S ribosomal RNA". It matches the Rfam family "Bacterial small subunit ribosomal RNA", at positions 28 to 506 of the family's 1533-position model. The record is from RNAcentral.